GAAAGUUCAUUUCCUAGACGCUCAUAACAACAAAGUGAAAAAACAGAAACGAAGAAAGGAAAGCAAAGCGUUUCCGUUUUUUGAGAAAAGUUUUUGGCUUUUGCAACAUGUGAAGGAUUUAGAAGCCAAAAAAAAAAAAAAAAAUAGUAAAGUGGUUUUGAAAUUUUGAGAGAGCAA
This is a non-coding RNA of Jatropha curcas, 177 nucleotides long. Lineage: Eukaryota; Viridiplantae; Streptophyta; Magnoliopsida; Malpighiales; Euphorbiaceae. The record is from RefSeq and is a predicted model, not a curated record.